This 305-nucleotide ribosomal RNA is filed under the name uncultured bacterium. RNAcentral describes it as "bacterial SSU rRNA". It matches the Rfam family "Bacterial small subunit ribosomal RNA", at positions 337 to 635 of the family's 1533-position model. The record is from RNAcentral.
ACCUACGGGGCGCAGCAGUAGGGAAUCUUCGUCAAUGGGCGCAAGCCUGAACGAGCAAUGCCGCGUGAACGAGGAAGGUCUUCGGAUCGUAAAGUUCUGUUGAAGGGGAAAAAGAGCGGAGAGAGGAAAUGGUCUCCGAUUGAUAUUACCCUUCGAGGAAGUCACGGCUAAUUACGUGCCAGCAGCCGCGGUAAUACGUAGGUGGCGAGCGUUAUCCGGAAUGAUUGGGCGUAAAGGGUGCGUAGGCGGCCUGCUAAGUCUGGAGUGAAAGGUACCGGCUCAACCGGUACAGGCUCUGGAAACUG